UACGAGGGGUCCAAGCGUUGUUCGGAAUUACUGGGCGUAAAGCGGGUGUAGGUGGACUGAUCAGUCGGAUGUGAAAGCCCUGGGCUCAACCCAGGAAGUGCAUCCGAUACUGUCAGUCUUGAGACUGGGAGAGGGAAGUGGAAUUCCUGGUGUAGCGGUGAAAUGCGUAGAUAUCAGGAGGAACAUCGGUGGCGAAGGCGGCUUCCUGGCCAUGUACUGACACUCAGACCCGAAAGCGUGGGUAGCAAACAGGAUUAGAUACCCCCGCGUACGA
RNAcentral lists this ribosomal RNA (274 nucleotides) under uncultured bacterium. Its description in RNAcentral is "partial 16S ribosomal RNA". It matches the Rfam family "Bacterial small subunit ribosomal RNA", at positions 524 to 798 of the family's 1533-position model. The record is from RNAcentral.